GGGGAAUUUUCCGCAAUGGGCGAAAGCCUGACGGAGCAAUACCGCGUGAGGGAGGAAGGCUCUUGGGUUGUAAACCUCUUUUCUACAGGGAAUAAGAANCUGAAGGUACCUGAGGAAUCAGCAUCGGCUAACUCCGUGCCAGCAGCCGCGGUAAUACGGAGGAUGCAAGCGUUAUCCGGAAUGAUUGGGCGUAAAGCGUCCGCAGGUGGUUUAUCAAGUCUGCUGUCAAAGAGUUUGGCUCAACCAAAUAAAGGCAGUGGAAACUGACAGACUGGAGUGCGGUAAGGGCAGAGGGAAUUCCUGGUGUAGCGGUGAAAUGCGUAGAGAUCAGGAAGAACACCGGUGGCGAAAGCGCUCUGCUGGGCCGUAACUGACACUGAGGGACGAAAGCUAGGGGAGCGAAUGGGAUUAGAUACCCCAGUAGUC
RNAcentral lists this ribosomal RNA (426 nucleotides) under uncultured cyanobacterium. RNAcentral describes it as "bacterial SSU rRNA". It matches the Rfam family "Bacterial small subunit ribosomal RNA", at positions 356 to 795 of the family's 1533-position model. The record is from RNAcentral. Lineage: Bacteria; Bacillati; Cyanobacteriota.